This 253-nucleotide ribosomal RNA is filed under the name uncultured bacterium. Its description in RNAcentral is "partial 16S ribosomal RNA". It matches the Rfam family "Bacterial small subunit ribosomal RNA", at positions 524 to 776 of the family's 1533-position model. The record is from RNAcentral.
UACGGAGGGUGCAAGCGUUAUCCGGAUUCACUGGGUUUAAAGGGUGCGUAGGUGGGUUGGUAAGUCAGUGGUGAAAUCUCCGAGCUUAACUUGGAAACUGCCAUUGAUACUAUCAGUCUUGAAUACUGUGGAGGUUAGCGGAAUAUGUCAUGUAGCGGUGAAAUGCUUAGAUAUGACAUAGAACACCAAUUGCGAAGGCAGCUGGCUACACAAAUAUUGACACUGAGGCACGAAAGCGUGGGGAUCAAACAGG